This 468-nucleotide ribosomal RNA is filed under the name uncultured bacterium. RNAcentral's name for it is "partial 16S ribosomal RNA". It matches the Rfam family "Bacterial small subunit ribosomal RNA", at positions 28 to 507 of the family's 1533-position model. The record is from RNAcentral.
GACGAACGCUGGCGGCGUGCUUAACACAUGCAAGUCGAACGGAAAGGCCCUGCUUUUGUGGGGUGCUCGAGUGGCGAACGGGUGAGUAACACGUGAGUAACCUGCCCUUGACUUUGGGAUAACUUCAGGAAACUGGGGCUAAUACCGGAUAGGAGCUCCUGCUGCAUGGUGGGGGUUGGAAAGUUUCGGCGGUUGGGGAUGGACUCGCGGCUUAUCAGCUUGUUGGUGGGGUAGUGGCUUACCAAGGCUUUGACGGGUAGCCGGCCUGAGAGGGUGACCGGCCACAUUGGGACUGAGAUACGGCCCAGACUCCUACGGGAGGCAGUAGUGGGGAAUAUUGCACAAUGGGCGGAAGCCUGAUGCAGCAACGCCGCGUGCGGGAUGACGGCCUUCGGGUUGUAAACCGCUUUCGCCUGUGACGAAGCGUGAGUGGCGGUAAUGGGUAAAGAAGCACCGGCUAACUACGUG